GUGUUGUCCAAAACUCUGUUUUCUAAUUCUUUGUAUUGAGCAAUUUCUAGGAAGAUGUUCUAACUGGAUACUAAUGAUCCGUUCUCACCCAUUCUCUCGUCUCAGUUUGGUGAUUUUUGUAACAUCAUUCUCUGGACCUCCUGAAUGAAGCUGUUUGGAAACAUCGACUUCUUUGGACCUAACAGAGCUUCUUUGAAGAAAGAGUCCUGAGGCUACAAAAUUUGAAAACUGCUGGAAUAAACGAUCGCCAAGGCCCCUUCCAGUCUGAGACGCUUGGUCUUCUGAAGCCCAGCUCAAGUUUUUCCUCCUCCAGAAAGCCUUUCUUGUUACCCAGUCCUGGGUACUUGAGCUCCAACAAUAAUGAUGAUGGCAGGCAUAUGGUGCCGUCCGUGAGCCAUCCGAUGCCUGCAUGUGUGCAUAAGCUGUCUCCCCAGCUAGAAGGAAAGCACAGGAGCCUGCUUCCAAAGAGGGACUGUCCCGUAAUUGAGAGAUGCUCCAAGGCUGACCAUCCUCCUUCUCCUGCUGCACACCCAGCAGCCAUCUAUGGCUGGAUUUGGAGAAUUUCUGGUCAAACCGUAGAGACGGGGUUUCACCGUGUUAGUCAGGAUGGUCUUGAUCUCCUCACCUCGUGAUCCGCCUGCCUCGGCCUCCCAAAGUGCUAGGAUUACAGGCGUGAGCCACCGCGCCCAGCCGAUCUUACUCACUCCUUAUAAAACCUCACAGAGGAGGUAUUUUCUUCAACUGAUAGAUUUGAAAACAGGUUCAGUGACAGAUGAAGAGCUGGUACUCAAACCCAGUUCUUCCGACUUGCAGUCCUGUGCUCUUUCUGCUGCAGUCGUCUGCUCUUUCUCUUGCCAGACAGAUUAUUGAGCACGUGCUGCACUCCUAAUUCCCAUCUUAGAGCCUUGGAACUUUCUCUUCCCUCUGCCUGGGUUGCUCUAUCCCCCCCGAUAACUGCAUGGCCCUCUUUUUUAUUCUGGUCUUGUUUCAACUAGUACUACCUCAGAGAAGCCUUUCCUGACUACUCUCUCUAAAAUAGUCACCCACCAGGUCUCAAUCUCCCUAUCUUGCUUUAUAUUUUUUUCAUAGCAUCUGUUGCAAUUGAAUAUUAUAUUAUAGAGUCG
RNAcentral lists this long non-coding RNA (1124 nucleotides) under Homo sapiens (human). RNAcentral describes it as "HSALNT0218997". The record is from RNAcentral. Lineage: Eukaryota; Metazoa; Chordata; Mammalia; Primates; Hominidae.